CCUGGCUCAGAUUGAACGCUGGCGGCAGGCCUAACACAUGCAAGUCGAGCGGAUGAAAGGGAGCUUGCUCCUGGAUUCAGCGGCGGACGGGUGAGUAAUGCCUAGGAAUCUGCCUGGUAGUGGGGGAUAACGUUCCGGAAACGGGCGCUAAUACCGCAUACGUCCUGAGGGAGAAAGUGGGGGAUCUUCGGACCUCACGCUAUCAGAUGAGCCUAGGUCGGAUUAGCUAGUUGGUGGGGUAAAGGCCUACCAAGGCGACGAUCCGUAACUGGUCUGAGAGGAUGAUCAGUCACACUGGAACUGAGACACGGUCCAGACUCCUACGGGAGGCAGCAGUGGGGAAUAUUGGACAAUGGGCGAAAGCCUGAUCCAGCCAUGCCGCGUGUGUGAAGAAGGUCUUCGGAUUGUAAAGCACUUUAAGUUGGGAGGAAGGGCAGUAAGUUAAUACCUUGCUGUUUUGACGUUACCAACAGAAUAAGCACCGGCUAACUUCGUGCCAGCAGCCGCGGUAAUACGAAGGGUGCAAGCGUUAAUCGGAAUUACUGGGCGUAAAGCGCGCGUAGGUGGUUCAGCAAGUUGGAUGUGAAAUCCCCGGGCUCAACCUGGGAACUGCAUCCAAAACUACUGAGCUAGAGUACGGUAGAGGGUGGUGGAAUUUCCUGUGUAGCGGUGAAAUGCGUAGAUAUAGGAAGGAACACCAGUGGCGAAGGCGACCACCUGGACUGAUACUGACACUGAGGUGCGAAAGGG
RNAcentral lists this ribosomal RNA (750 nucleotides) under Pseudomonas aeruginosa. RNAcentral's name for it is "bacterial SSU rRNA". It matches the Rfam family "Bacterial small subunit ribosomal RNA", at positions 18 to 761 of the family's 1533-position model. Lineage: Bacteria; Pseudomonadati; Pseudomonadota; Gammaproteobacteria; Pseudomonadales; Pseudomonadaceae. The record is from RNAcentral.